AAGACUGUAUUUUCAGGGGUCAUUUCUAUAGCUCUUUAUUUGGAAAAGUGUUUUGAAAGCUGUGACGAGCUGUGAUACUCAUUUCUGAAUCAAAGAUGGAGUUCUUGCAAGUUCUGUCAUUGAUGAGUGUUUUCUAUUGCUUUUGGCAAUAUUGACGAAAGCAGUAUGGUCUGU
Small nucleolar RNA from Cyprinus carpio carpio, 174 nucleotides. Its record names the gene U3. It matches the Rfam family "Small nucleolar RNA U3". Rfam says of the family: Small nucleolar RNAs (snoRNAs) are involved in the processing and modification of rRNA in the nucleolus. There are two main classes of snoRNAs: the box C/D class, and the box H/ACA class. The record is from Ensembl. Lineage: Eukaryota; Metazoa; Chordata; Actinopteri; Cypriniformes; Cyprinidae.